Molecule: non-coding RNA, 3952 nt
Organism: Caretta caretta (loggerhead turtle)
Lineage: Eukaryota; Metazoa; Chordata; Testudines; Cheloniidae
Source: RefSeq, a predicted model, not a curated record
GAUGGGAACCCCGAGGCGGGAGGGCCGCCCGCCCGCCCUUAUCAGGAAGGGGUCACGCCUCCAUUCCCAGCCGGGCGUGACACUGGGGGCCAGCCUCUGCACGCGUAGGCCCAGCUCAAGCCCUCCUGGAGGCCGAGGGACUGCCUGGGCGUAACCCAGGGCGGAAUUUGGCCUGGUCGCUGUAAUGAAAAGACACCCAAGAUCACAGCAAAAAGUAAGGCAUUCCAUCUCCCCAACUGAAGAUUCAGUGGUCUAUCCAAUGGCUUAGAGAGCUGUUCAGAUGCAGUCGUACCAGACAACGUGUGCAACAGAAGGAGGAAGAGGUGGCAGCUGGAGGACAUGCAACUGGAGGUCCAGCUAUGCUGCAAGCCAGGACCUGUUUGAGACUCCACCACAGUCCAGUCAGUCCUGGCAGUCGAGCACAGCUGCUGCUGUAGUGGCCUUGAGGGGUUCCCCCUCCACACCUCCUGGAAUGCCUGAGCCAGAUAAGGAGGAGAAAGAAGAGGUCUUGAGAUGACACGUUGAGCAAGAUCCUACAAGCUGGUGCUUCAUCAGAUCACGAGCAGAGGGCCUGGAGGAUGAAUAUUGCAGACUAUAUGGAGAAGGAAAGAGUGGACAUGAGAAAGGCCCAGAAGUUCCAACAGGAAAAGGAGAGGGAGAUUCGCCAGGACAUAAUGGGGUUUUUCCAGCAGCAAACACAGAUGCUGCAGACUCUUGUGGACCUACAAGUUCAACAAUCAUGGGCUCGCCCCCCCUUUGCAAUCCCUGGAUAACUCAAUUUUAGCACCUCCCUACAUCCCCCUCAGUAUUCCAUGUGGCAUCAGGGGUUGCAUCCCUCUCACUCCAUACUGGGAGACAGUUAGGACAACCACAGCUUCACACACGUUGACCGGUGAGAGCCAUGGUUGCUAUAGGGGUGUCCCCAAAAUGGAUGUUUCCCCUUGUUAAGUUCUGUUCCAUGUGCUGCAGAAUGCCUGGUGGUACUGAAAGCAACCAUUUACGGGUUAUUGUACAGUAUGACAACUCAUAGGAUCAGUGACAGUGUAAUAAUCAUAAAUGUACAGUGAGCACCACAAAAUGAAUAGGUGCAUUGACCGUGUUAUAUUCAUAGAUGCACACCAAGCACCACACAAUUGCUAAUAGCCCUCAAAACUGCAGGGCCAGGUAGAUCACAGCCCACCAUAACACAUUACUGUGACUGGCUCUUAAAGUGCUUCUUCAAAGCCUCCCUGAGCCCUAUAGCUUUGCAUUGAGCUUUUCUAAUGCCCUUGUGUCAGGCUGUUUGAACUCAGCAUAUAGCUGCUUCACCUGCGCCCUUCUCCCCUUUGCUUCACAAGAUACUGUGCAGGACACAACUGGUAGCUAUAACCAUUGGGAUAUUUUUUUUCACUGAUAUCCAGUCUUAGGAGUAAACAGUGCCAGUAUCCUUUCAUUCUACCAAAAGUACAUUCAACUGUCAUUCUGCGCCUGCUGAGCUGGUCAUUGAAUCUUUCUUUGGUGCUGUCGUGGCAAGUAUAUGGCUUUAUGAGCCAGGGAAGCAAGGGUAGACUGAGUUCACCAGGAUCACCAUUAUUUCAACAUUGCCAAUGGUAAUACACCGGUUGGAAAAGGAAGUCCUGGCUUGCAGCUUUCUGAACAGUUCUGUGUUCUUAAAGAUGCAAGUAUCAUGCACCUUCCCUGACCAGCCAUUACUGAUGUCACUGAAGCAUCGCCGGUGAUACACCAAUGCUUGCAUAAUCAUAGAAAAGUAGCACUUUUUGUUGACAUACUCUGAGGCAAGUUGGUCCAGUGCCAAAAUAGGAAUACACGUGCUGCCUGUUGCUCCACUGCAGUUCAGAAAACACGUUACUGCAACUCCAUUCACUAUGUCCUGCAUUGCCAAGAGUCACACUGCUGCAUAACAGGAGACUUUUGAUGGCCCCCACAAUGGAUUUUCCACUUCCAGAAUGUUUUCCCACUGACCAGAAUCAAUGCAAAGUUACAAGUUUCCACAGUGCAGUCACCACUCAAUUCUCUAUUGUCAAUGCAGCUCUCAUUCUGGUGUCCCUGAACUGGAGGGCUGGGGUGAGAUCCAGGAAUCUUGGCCUUGUAAGUUGUGCAUCUGAAAGUUUUGCAGCCACUGCUUGUCAGCCAAAACCUGCAUUACAAUGCAACCCCAUCAGUCAGUGCUUGUUUCUGAGGGACAGAAGCGGCACGCCAACAUCUGCAGCUGCUCUGUGAAUGCUACCAACAACCUUGAAUUGGUUUUCACUAUGUUCCAUAACAAUGCUGGAGGAUCAUGCGUCCUGUGUUUGCAAUGCUCACGAGCUUCUGUCAGAGAUGGUGGACAACAAGCAGGGUUACAUGGAUGUGUGAGAUUUUUUUUUUAAAUGAUUGGAUAUGGAUGAUAUUAUGGGAUGGAGAAAGAUGCUUGCUGGGAAGUUAACCUCUAGCUCCCAGUCCCCCUUGCACGUUUCUGCCCCACCAUGCAUUGCCAAAACAUCCUAAAAGACAAUGUGUUGAACAUAGACGAGUUGCACACUGGGAUACCUACCCAUGGUGCAUCAACAAAAGUGCUCCUGGUGAGUAUGCACACCAUCAACACGGGGAGCCAAGUAUACAUGCACACAAGCAGUAAACUAACUGUGGUUGCUUUAUGCCCAUAUAACUUGCAGCAGCAAAAGUUUGUAGUCUAGCCAUGACCUCAGUAUCACUUCAGGAGCCUUGAAUCCAUUUCACUCAUGAAGUGAGAAUAUACACUAAGUAGAUUGGUUAAGUUUAGAGAACAGAUAUGUUGUUUGCCACAGCUAGCCAGAGCCCAGAUAUAGGCUCAAGCUGCAAAAUUCAGGACUGAAUCCAAACUUUUUCAAAGUUAGGGUUGGUUGGGAUCUAGCUCAUAGUCUGAGCCAGCCAUGAAGCUCUGAUUCAGCCACUGAUUUCUCCAAAAUUCAGGGCUAUACUGAUCUGGAGUUUAGACUUGGCCAUAUCUUUACAAUUAACCAUACACAUACAUACACAGUAAUGUAUUUUAUGUAUAUAAUGACACUAUGAAUUAACUGCAUCCUGACUGACUAAGCCAAGCUUUUGGGGGAAGUGCUGUGCCAGCUUUGUUGCUGGAAUCCAUUGAUUUCACCAGUUGGCACAAAUUCCAUAGAUAUAAAUUCUGUCCAAGUGCUGCAUUAUUCAAUCAGCUCCAGUAGGGCUAGACAUUGUUACCUUUAAUCUCUGCAAUGCUGUAGAAUAUCCAUGUUAAUGUUAGUCUCAUUGUAAAAUUUGCUUUUAUUUCAACUGCAAAUUUUCACGGAUUAUACCUACAUAUUGAUCAUGUAGAUUCUGAUUAUCAUGUUAGGAAAGAAUUAGGGGAAAUGAAUGUUGGAUGAGGCUCAUGCAUCUCCCCUAGGGACUCCAGUUGUAGUCUAAUUUCCCAUUCCAAGUUAAAUUAAUUUUAGAGUCUCAGUUUGGUUUUAGGUUAUUUACAGCCCAGUUUUGGCACCCUUACUCAGAGUAAGUAGUACCUUACUUUGCAAGGAGUCCCAUUGAUUUUUAGUAGGACUACUUGCAGAGUAAAUUACUACUAAAUGGGAGUUAAGGUGCCAGAAUGAGGUACCUCUAAUUAUUAGCAGCUCUCCUUACAGAACACACACAAAGUGGGGAGAUUGUAGGAUUGGGGAAUUUCUGCAAUGAUAACAUGAAAAACAUCUAUUAAAGCAGGCUGAUGGUAUAUAUUAAAAAAAAACAAAAACCUUUCAGAGCUGUACAGCUGCAGGACACAACCCAUUUACCAAAAGAGCAAUCCAGGAAGGGUGGGCCUCUGCACAUUUUGUAGCAAACACUUUGAUCUUAACAAAAACAGACCUAAGGGUUUUAAGGGAAGGUCUGGGAUUCCUAUUUAUGCUGGACCAUUCUUAGCAAUCUGGUAUUCACAACUGUAUAAAGUGCUUUGGAAUUUCAAACCAGUCUGUGUCUACAAGCA